Molecule: ribosomal RNA, 406 nt
Filed under: uncultured bacterium
Lineage: Bacteria
Description: partial 16S ribosomal RNA
Rfam family: Bacterial small subunit ribosomal RNA
Source: RNAcentral
AUUGAACGCUGGCGGCAGGCCUAACACAUGCAAGUCGAACGAGUGGCGGACGGGUGAGUACUGUCUGGGAAACUGCCUGAUGGAGGGGGAUAACUACUGGAAACGGUAGCUAAUACCGCUUACCCUCGGCUGUGCCCAGAGGGGAUUAGCUAGUAGGUGGGGUAAAGGCUAACCGAGACGACGAUCCCUAGCUGGUCUGAGAGGAUGACCAGCCACACUGGGACUGAGACACGGUCCAGACUCCUACGGGAGGCAGCAGUGGGGAAUAUUGCACAAUGGGCGCAAGCCUGAUGCAGCCAUGCCGCGUGUAUGAAGAAGGCCUUCGGGUUGUAAAGUACUUUCAGCGGGGAGGCGUUACCCGCAGAAGAAGCACCGGCUAACUCCGGGCCAGCAGCCGCGGUAAUAC